This 284-nucleotide unclassified non-coding RNA is filed under the name uncultured fungus. Its description in RNAcentral is "partial contains small subunit ribosomal RNA, internal transcribed spacer 1, and 5.8S ribosomal RNA". The stretch from base 1 to 73 matches the Rfam family "Eukaryotic small subunit ribosomal RNA", at positions 1759 to 1831 of the family's 1831-position model. The record is from RNAcentral. Lineage: Eukaryota; Fungi.
GCAAACUUGGUCAUUUAGAGGAAGUAAAAGUCGUAACAAGGUCUCCGUUGGUGAACCAGGGGAGGGAUCAUUAAAGAGUUCUAUAACUCCUAAACCCAUGUGAACAUACCUUACGUUGCCUCGGCAGGUCGCAACUACCCUGUAGUGUCCUACCCUGUAGGUGCGGGUAAGCCUGCCGACGGCCCAUGAAACUCUGUUUAGCAUUGAAUUCUGAACAUUCAAUUAGAUAAGUUAAAACUUUCAACAACGGAUCUCUUGGUUCUGGCAUCGAUGAAGAACGCAGC